Andrographis paniculata is the source of this 77-nucleotide small nucleolar RNA. The record is from RefSeq and is a predicted model, not a curated record. Lineage: Eukaryota; Viridiplantae; Streptophyta; Magnoliopsida; Lamiales; Acanthaceae.
GAGAGGUGUGAUGAGCUUAUCCACCUAUUCUGCAUUUGAAUGAUGAUUAACAAACAUGCACUACCAUCUGAUCUCUC